This 1401-nucleotide unclassified non-coding RNA is filed under the name Apis dorsata (giant honeybee). Its description in RNAcentral is "potassium channel subfamily K member 18-like, transcript variant X2". The record is from RNAcentral. Lineage: Eukaryota; Metazoa; Arthropoda; Insecta; Hymenoptera; Apidae.
AAUCUAAAAGAAAAAAAAAAAUCUAAAUUGAAUUUUACUCGCUAAAAAUCUCUUGCGAAUUUCAGCAAUUAACCCAUACCACAUACGCGAUCAUGAAGAGUAACGAAGCCAACGUUAGGAUCACUUUCGAACAAUUCGAUAAAGUCAGAAACGGAUAAGAUGGUGUACAGAGCGUGAAGAAAAGAAAUAAGAAAAGAAAAAGGGCGAGCGAUAUCUUGAGCAAUCGAGUGCCGGAUGAAUGAUGGAAGGGGAUCGAGGAUUCGACGUAGGAAGGUAUUCGACUUCCAAUAGAAAUUGGCAGCGUGGAAGUUAUCGGGUCCGCGGCGGAAAGCGAAGAAAACGGAGGCGGAAACCUUGGGGCGAAAGGAUCGUGGACUGGACCAGGGCUCUGAUCGCUUUCCUCUUCAGCAAUGUUGGCAUAGUAUGCUUGGUGGUCGGUUACACCAUAGCCGGUGCCUUCCUCUUCACCCAUAUCGAAGGUAGAAACAACCUGGACAUAGUUGGAGACGUGAUCAGGCUGAGAAACGUGACAGCUGCCACUCUCUGGGAACUUACCUCUAAGGAGAACGUGUUUUCCGAGAGAAUCUGGAAAGCGAAAGUGAAGGCGAUCCUCGAGAAUUAUCAGAAGAAAAUGGUAACGGCUAUAAAAAAUGGCUACGACGGCGCUGAAGAAAAUAAAAGAUGGAGCUUCGCCGGGGCGUUUCUCUAUUCCCUUACUGUGAUUACCACGAUCGGUUACGGGAACAUUUGUCCAAAGACGAAAUGGGGCAAAGUGGUGACCAUAGUAUAUGCCAUAAUAGGCCUGCCACUUUUCUUGCUCUAUCUAAGCAACAUUGGUGACAUUCUCGCGAAAAGCUUCAAAUGGACCUAUGCUCGUUGCUGUCUGUGCAAGUGUCGCAGAAGACCAAUAGAAAUGGCACCAAGAGGAAGUUUGCAAAAUAGUGCAGAUAUAAGGAGAAAUCAUUGGCAAAUGGUUGACAUGCAUGGAAAGGAGAUUGACUCGAUUAGUGUAGAUAAGGAAGUUUCGAUAGAGAAUGAUGAAUCGAAAGAAGAUGACGAGAGUAGUUAUGAUCCACAACGUGUCACAGUUCCUUUGACGCUCUGCGUUGCCAUAAUGGUCGGGAAUGACCGUGUCAUUUCUUCGAGAAACGUUUCAGGUAUAUUUGGGGCGGAGCCAUUUUAUUCUCCGAAUGGGAAGACUGGAAUAUGUUGGACGGUUCUUAUUUCUGCUUCGUCUCCUUGUCGACCAUAGGUUUCGGCGACAUCGUGCCAGGUGACAAAAUCUACGCGGCCCAGGGUCUCGAUUUAUCCUUCAUCUUCUGCUCCAUGUAUCUAAUGCUUGGUAUGGCGUUGAUCGCGAUGUGCUUCAACCUGAUGCAAGAGGAAGUGAUCGCAAAGGUG